This 402-nucleotide ribosomal RNA is filed under the name uncultured bacterium. RNAcentral's name for it is "bacterial SSU rRNA". It matches the Rfam family "Bacterial small subunit ribosomal RNA", at positions 917 to 1322 of the family's 1533-position model. The record is from RNAcentral.
GGACCCGCACAAGCGGUGGAGCAUGUGGUUUAAUUCGAUGAUACGCGAGGAACCUUACCAGGGCUUAAAUGGGAAAUGACAGGGGCAGAGACGCCCCCUUCUUCGGACAUUUUUCAAGGUGCUGCAUGGUUGUCGUCAGCUCGUGCCGUGAGGUGUCAGGUUAAGUCCUAUAACGAGCGCAACCCCUACCGUUAGUUGCCAGCGUGUAAUGACGGGGACUCUAACGGAACUGCCGGUGCAAACCGUGAGGAAGGUGGGGACGACGUCAAAUCAUCACGGCCCUUACGUCCUGGGCCACACACGUGCUACAAUGGUAGGUACAGAGGGAAGCCACCCCGCGAGGGGGAGCGGAUCUAUAAAACCUAUCUCAGUUCAGAUUGAAGUCUGAAAUUCGACUUCAUG